Molecule: RNA transcript, 1956 nt
Organism: Magnolia sinica
Lineage: Eukaryota; Viridiplantae; Streptophyta; Magnoliopsida; Magnoliales; Magnoliaceae
Gene name: protein FLX-like 1
Exons: 8
Source: RefSeq, a predicted model, not a curated record
UCUCUUUCCCGGCUUCAGUUCAUUCCGCUAUUAUUUCUUUGCAGCGGUGGAAGGAUUUUUGCAGACCAGGAAUCCUACACCCCGUAAAAAAUCCCAGGUUUCUCUCUCCUCUCCUUUUUCUAGGGUUUGAUAUCUUCAUAAACCCUAAGUUCAGGCUCUUCAAUAUUCUCUUCCAAUUUCCUUGAGAUGUCCGGGAGAAAUCGCGGGCCCCCACAUUCAAUGAAGGGCGGGCCCCAUCCUUCCAUGCACGACCCUCCCUUCGCCCGUGGCAUGGGCCCCAUGCCUCCUCACCCCGCCCUUCUCGACGAUCUCCGUGACGGUCCUCCCUUCUUCCGGGGUGGCCCUCGGCCCCCGCCGAUCCCCCCGGCGGCUAUCAUGGAGGAGAGGCUCGCGGGUCAGCACCACGAGAUCCAAGGCCUCCUGGUCGACAACCAACGGUUGGCUGCCACACACGUCGCCCUGAAGCAGGAGCUCGCUGCCGCCCAGCACGAGCUGCAGCUGAUGGCCCACUCCGCGGGUGCGAUGGAGGCCGGGUCGGACAUGCAGCUGAGGGAGCUCUUUGAGAAGUCGAUGAAAAUGGAUGCGGAUCUCCGGGCCGCAGAGGCCAUGCGGUCCGAGCUGAUGCAAGUUCGUUCAGAUAUUCAGAAGCUUAGUGCUUCAAGACAGGAGCUUGCUGGCCAGGUUCAAGCACUCACGCAAGAUUUGAGUAGAGCCACUGCUGAUUUGCAGCAGGCUCCUGCGCUGAAGGCAGAAAUUGAGGCCAUGAAACAGGAGUUGCAGAGGGCAAGAGCUGCCAUUGAGUAUGAGAAGAAAGGACAUGCUGAGAAUUAUGAACAUGGUCAAGCAAUGGAGAAGAAUUUGAUCUUGAUGGCUCGUGAGGUGGAAAAGCUACGUGCGGAGAUUGCUAAUGCAGAGAAAAGGGCACAUGCGACUGCUGCUGCUGCUGUGAACCCAGGUGCAGGUUAUGGUGGAAAUUAUGGCAAUACUGAUGCUGGAUAUGGAGGAAAUACUUAUCCUGCUGGCUAUGGCAUGAAUCCUGUACAAGGUGGUGCGGAAGGUGUUCCACAAUAUGGACCUGGGCCUGGCUCUUGGAGUGCAUAUGACAUGCAACGAGCUCAUGGACGUAGAUGAAUCAGUGUGCAACGUCAUGUGGAGUUGUGCCCGCUUGUUUUGCUUACAUGCAUACUGGGAAAAUUGCUACCGCUCCACAACUUCCAGUUUUCUGCAUUGAAGUGUACCUCACUUCCAUGAGACAGAAAAAUACAAGCAAGGAGGCAGGGAAUGUGGAGGGAUCAUCCCCAAACCAUGGGACAAGAAAUACAAGAAAACACCCUGAGCAGUGAAAAGAUCCUCCUGAAGACCUUUAAAUGGGUGGCUAUGAUCCGAAGUUAUUUCUGGCUAUUGAGUGGCUGCUUGGCAUCAAAUGUAAUGCUGGAAAGCCCUGCUUUGAUACAUAUCAACUUCUUUAAGGGUCUAUUCUCAUCACUGCUAGCAAGACUAAACAGGCAGUUAUUGUAUGAUGCUCGGCCUUGAUUAAAGAGUACCUCGCGCUUAAAGGCUGCACGGACAGUAUAUGUGGGACCAUGUAUCAGUGGUCCAAUCUGAGGAUAAUGGGCUACACUCGUAUUGUGGUUUUACUGGAUGGGCCUUUUUGGUUGAAUGUGAACUGUUGCUAUACUCUCUUUGCUCAACUGCCUGGUUACUUGCUUGCUUUUAAUUGGCAGGGUAAUCCAUAUAGAAGAUUGUUUUUGUUUAAGCUACCCAGAGAGGUUCCGUCAAGACUGGUUUUGAUCACUGAACCAUGGGGCGCCACUUGUACAAAAUGACAACCUGAUCGCACUUGGAUAUUCUGUAAUUGCUAGCUUAGUGGCUAGACUGGCAGUGUACGGUUGGCACUGUUAGACUGUACUUGUGGCGUGAUGUGCUUCAAUCCAAACAUUUGAAUUGUGGGCUCGU